AACAUAAAGGCACAUUAUCAAUGCAAGAGGUAAAAAAUAAAAAAAAACUAAAGAAAAUAAAAGAAAGAACAAAAAUAAAUAGAUAAAGCAAUAAGAAGAAAAUAAUAAUAAAAAGUACACAAAAGACAAAAACAAACUAAAAAUUGGGGGUGUAGCUAGAAAAAUGCUCUAGCUCCAAAGGAGGGGGAACCCACAUGGGUAUAUUGAGCAAUUAAGGGGUGUGGGAAGACUUCAUCUUUCCCAACCCCACACUUGAUUAUUAUUCUCAUAGCAACAAAAAUGUAAAAACACCAUAACUUUCUCAAUUUUUCAUGGAAUUAAGCAAAUAAAUAAUGAAAAUUUAUCUACUCAAUCUCAGGAAUAUAAUGAUAUAUUCAAAAUCAGAAAAUAGCACAACAACAAAAUUCGAAAAUCAAUAA
RNAcentral lists this long non-coding RNA (419 nucleotides) under Lathyrus oleraceus (garden pea). RNAcentral describes it as "Pisum sativum (pea) long non-coding RNA (PSAT_LNC002213)". The record is from RNAcentral. Lineage: Eukaryota; Viridiplantae; Streptophyta; Magnoliopsida; Fabales; Fabaceae.